This 2906-nucleotide ribosomal RNA is filed under the name Escherichia coli. RNAcentral's name for it is "23S ribosomal RNA". It matches the Rfam family "Bacterial large subunit ribosomal RNA". The record is from RNAcentral. Lineage: Bacteria; Pseudomonadati; Pseudomonadota; Gammaproteobacteria; Enterobacterales; Enterobacteriaceae.
GGUUAAGCGACUAAGCGUACACGGUGGAUGCCCUGGCAGUCAGAGGCGAUGAAGGACGUGCUAAUCUGCGAUAAGCGUCGGUAAGGUGAUAUGAACCGUUAUAACCGGCGAUUUCCGAAUGGGGAAACCCAGUGUGAUUCGUCACACUAUCAUUAACUGAAUCCAUAGGUUAAUGAGGCGAACCGGGGGAACUGAAACAUCUAAGUACCCCGAGGAAAAGAAAUCAACCGAGAUUCCCCCAGUAGCGGCGAGCGAACGGGGAGGAGCCCAGAGCCUGAAUCAGUGUGUGUGUUAGUGGAAGCGUCUGGAAAGGCGCGCGAUACAGGGUGACAGCCCCGUACACAAAAAUGCACAUGCUGUGAGCUCGAUGAGUAGGGCGGGACACGUGGUAUCCUGUCUGAAUAUGGGGGGACCAUCCUCCAAGGCUAAAUACUCCUGACUGACCGAUAGUGAACCAGUACCGUGAGGGAAAGGCGAAAAGAACCCCGGCGAGGGGAGUGAAAAAGAACCUGAAACCGUGUACGUACAAGCAGUGGGAGCACAGAGCAAUCUGUGUGACUGCGUACCUUUGUAUAAUGGGUCAGCGACUUAUAUUCUGUAGCAAGGUUAACCGAAUAGGGGAGCCGAAGGGAAACCGAGUCUUAACUGGGCGUUAAGUUGCAGGGUAUAGACCCGAAACCCGGUGAUCUAGCCAUGGGCAGGUUGAAGGUUGGGUAACACUAACUGGAGGACCGAACCGACUAAUGUUGAAAAAUUAGCGGAUGACUUGUGGCUGGGGGUGAAAGGCCAAUCAAACCGGGAGAUAGCUGGUUCUCCCCGAAAGCUAUUUAGGUAGCGCCUCGUGAAUUCAUCUCCGGGGGUAGAGCACUGUUUCGGCAAGGGGGUCAUCCCGACUUACCAACCCGAUGCAAACUGCGAAUACCGGAGAAUGUUAUCACGGGAGACACACGGCGGGUGCUAACGUCCGUCGUGAAGAGGGAAACAACCCAGACCGCCAGCUAAGGUCCCAAAGUCAUGGUUAAGUGGGAAACGAUGUGGGAAGGCCCAGACAGCCAGGAUGUUGGCUUAGAAGCAGCCAUCAUUUAAAGAAAGCGUAAUAGCUCACUGGUCGAGUCGGCCUGCGCGGAAGAUGUAACGGGGCUAAACCAUGCACCGAAGCUGCGGCAGCGACACUGUGUGUUGUUGGGUAGGGGAGCGUUCUGUAAGCCUGUGAAGGUGUGCUGUGAGGCAUGCUGGAGGUAUCAGAAGUGCGAAUGCUGACAUAAGUAACGAUAAAGCGGGUGAAAAGCCCGCUCGCCGGAAGACCAAGGGUUCCUGUCCAACGUUAAUCGGGGCAGGGUGAGUCGACCCCUAAGGCGAGGCCGAAAGGCGUAGUCGAUGGGAAACAGGUUAAUAUUCCUGUACUUGGUGUUACUGCGAAGGGGGGACGGAGAAGGCUAUGUUGGCCGGGCGACGGUUGUCCCGGUUUAAGCGUGUAGGCUGGUUUUCCAGGCAAAUCCGGAAAAUCAAGGCUGAGGCGUGAUGACGAGGCACUACGGUGCUGAAGCAACAAAUGCCCUGCUUCCAGGAAAAGCCUCUAAGCAUCAGGUAACAUCAAAUCGUACCCCAAACCGACACAGGUGGUCAGGUAGAGAAUACCAAGGCGCUUGAGAGAACUCGGGUGAAGGAACUAGGCAAAAUGGUGCCGUAACUUCGGGAGAAGGCACGCUGAUAUGUAGGUGAAGUCCCUCGCGGAUGGAGCUGAAAUCAGUCGAAGAUACCAGCUGGCUGCAACUGUUUAUUAAAAACACAGCACUGUGCAAACACGAAAGUGGACGUAUACGGUGUGACGCCUGCCCGGUGCCGGAAGGUUAAUUGAUGGGGUCAGCGCAAGCGAAGCUCUUGAUCGAAGCCCCGGUAAACGGCGGCCGUAACUAUAACGGUCCUAAGGUAGCGAAAUUCCUUGUCGGGUAAGUUCCGACCUGCACGAAUGGCGUAAUGAUGGCCAGGCUGUCUCCACCCGAGACUCAGUGAAAUUGAACUCGCUGUGAAGAUGCAGUGUACCCGCGGCAAGACGGAAAGACCCCGUGAACCUUUACUAUAGCUUGACACUGAACAUUGAGCCUUGAUGUGUAGGAUAGGUGGGAGGCUUUGAAGUGUGGACGCCAGUCUGCAUGGAGCCGACCUUGAAAUACCACCCUUUAAUGUUUGAUGUUCUAACGUGGACCCGUGAUCCGGGUUGCGGACAGUGUCUGGUGGGUAGUUUGACUGGGGCGGUCUCCUCCUAAAGAGUAACGGAGGAGCACGAAGGUUGGCUAAUCCCCGGUCGGACAUCAGGAGGUUAGUGCAAUGGCAUAAGCCAGCUUGACUGCGAGCGUGACGGCGCGAGCAGGUGCGAAAAGCAGGUCAUAGUGAUCCGGUGGUUCUGAAUGGAAGGGCCAUCGCUCAACGGAUAAAAGGUACUCCGGGGAUAACAGGCUGAUACCGCCCAAGAGUUCAUAUCGACGGCGGUGUUUGGCACCUCGAUGUCGGCUCAUCACAUCCUGGGGCUGAAGUAGGUCCCAAGGGUAUGGCUGUUCGCCAUUUAAAGUGGUACGCGAGCUGGGUUUAGAACGUCGUGAGACAGUUCGGUCCCUAUCUGCCGUGGGCGCUGGAGAACUGAGGGGGGCUGCUCCUAGUACGAGAGGACCGGAGUGGACGCAUCACUGGUGUUCGGGUUGUCAUGCCAAUGGCACUGCCCGGUAGCUAAAUGCGGAAGAGAUAAGUGCUGAAAGCAUCUAAGCACGAAACUUGCCCCGAGAUGAGUUCUCCCUGACCCUUUAAGGGUCCUGAAGGAACGUUGAAGACGACGACGUUGAUAGGCCGGGUGUGUAAGCGCAGCGAUGCGUUGAGCUAACCGGUACUAAUGAACCGUGAGGCUUAACCUU